CUUCAGUGAUGAUACGAUGACGAGUCAGAAAGGUCACGCCUUGCUCUUGGUCCUCGUCAGUGCCAUGUUCUGUGGUGCUGCACAUGGUUCCUUUGGCAAAAGUGUCCUGUUCAUUGAUUGAUUAGAGGCAUUUGUCUGAGAAGG
Molecule: small nucleolar RNA, 144 nt
Organism: Mesocricetus auratus (golden hamster)
Lineage: Eukaryota; Metazoa; Chordata; Mammalia; Rodentia; Cricetidae
Source: Ensembl